RNAcentral lists this ribosomal RNA (253 nucleotides) under uncultured bacterium. RNAcentral's name for it is "partial 16S ribosomal RNA". It matches the Rfam family "Bacterial small subunit ribosomal RNA", at positions 524 to 776 of the family's 1533-position model. The record is from RNAcentral.
UACGUAGGGUGCAAGCGUUGUCCGGAAUUAUUGGGCGUAAAGAGCUUGUAGGCGGUUUGUCGCGUCUGCUGUGAAAUUUCGGGGCUCAACCCCGAACUUGCAGUGGGUACGGGCAGACUAGAGUUCGGUAGGGGAGACUGGAAUUCCUGGUGUAGCGGUGAAAUGCGCAGAUAUCAGGAGGAACACCGGUGGCGAAGGCGGGUCUCUGGGCCGAUACUGACGCUGAGGAGCGAAAGCGUGGGGAGCAAACAGG